CCUACGGGAGGCAGCAGUGAGGAAUAUUGGUCAAUGGGCGAGAGCCUGAACCAGCCAAGUCGCGUGAGGGAGUACGGCCCUAUGGGUUGUAAACCUCUUUUGUCGGGGAGCAAAAGCCGGACGUGUUCGGGUGUGAGGGUUCCCGGAGAAAAAGGAUCCGGAAACCCCGUGCCAGCAGCCGCGGUAAUACGGAGGAUGCGGGCGUUAACCGGAUUUAUUGGGUUUAAAGGGUGCGCAGGCGGAAGUUUAAGUCAGCGGUAAAAUCGUGGGGCUCAACCCCAUCCAGCCGUUGAAACUGGUGAUCUAGAGUGUGCGAGAGGUAUGCGGAAUGCGUGGUGUAGCGGUGAAAUGCAUAGAUAUCACGCAGAACCCCGAUUGCGAAGGCAGCAUACCGGCGCACAACUGACGCUCAGGCACGAAAGCGUGGGUAUCGAACAGGAUUAGAUACCCUUGUAGUC
RNAcentral lists this ribosomal RNA (458 nucleotides) under uncultured bacterium. RNAcentral's name for it is "partial 16S ribosomal RNA". It matches the Rfam family "Bacterial small subunit ribosomal RNA", at positions 338 to 795 of the family's 1533-position model. The record is from RNAcentral.